Molecule: long non-coding RNA, 489 nt
Organism: Cuculus canorus (common cuckoo)
Lineage: Eukaryota; Metazoa; Chordata; Aves; Cuculiformes; Cuculidae
Exons: 4
Source: RefSeq, a predicted model, not a curated record
CAGAUAGGGAAGGCAGCAGUGCCGCAGGUCCUGUGGCUCUGCAUCGCUGUCAGAGCUGUUACGGUGCAAGGGUCACAGGUGCUCUUGCGCUGGAGUCAUGGAACCUGCUGCUUGAAAGCCUCUGAAUCAAAGAGCUUACUGUCAGCCGUGGGAAUUUACAAGCUUUCCAACAAGUCUGAAGAAAUCCAGGAAACCACGAUGACAGAUCCACUUGAAAAGACCAUUUCAUGAGAAAGGAAGAGGUAGGAUAAGGGAAGAAGCCUUCCUAGACUUAUGCUGGCAGAACCAGAAAGUGCAAAAUGAAUGGUGAAAAAAGAAAGAAUUGUGGAAGACUUUGACUCUGAAGGGAAAACACGUUUCAAAACAGGUCAGCAGCCUCUGCGUAACCACCUUGCGUCUGCCUCCUUUGGGGCUGUGGAAGAACGGAGGACCAUUGGCACCCUGGGGCCGCUGCCGCCCCUUCCUGGGCCCUGGCACCCAUAGAGCUGC